RNAcentral lists this ribosomal RNA (200 nucleotides) under uncultured bacterium. RNAcentral describes it as "partial 16S ribosomal RNA". It matches the Rfam family "Bacterial small subunit ribosomal RNA", at positions 8 to 202 of the family's 1533-position model. The record is from RNAcentral.
AGAGUUUGAUCCUGGCUCAGAUUGAACGCUAGCGGCAGGCUUAAUACAUGCAAGUCGUGGGGCAGCACAGGUAGCAAUACUGGGUGGCGACCGGCAAACGGGUGCGGAACACGUACGCAACCUUCCUUUAAGCGGGGAAUAGCCCAGGGAAACUUGGAUUAAUACCCCAUAAUAUCUUCUGGUGGCAUCACUGGAUUAUU